CCGAGUGAGGGUCCUCUCGGGCCCGACCUCCCAACCCUAUGUUUACUGAACCUCUGUUGCUUCGGCGGACCCGUCUCACGGCCGCCGGAGGAUUUUAAGUAGUCCUCUGGCCCGCGUCCGCCGACGGCCAACCUUUAAAACUCUGUAUGAAUCGUGUCAUGAUGUCUGAGUACAAUGAUUAAAUUAAAAGCA
RNAcentral lists this unclassified non-coding RNA (192 nucleotides) under uncultured Herpotrichiellaceae. Its description in RNAcentral is "sequence contains ITS1". Lineage: Eukaryota; Fungi; Ascomycota; Eurotiomycetes; Chaetothyriales; Herpotrichiellaceae. The record is from RNAcentral.